CCAUAACAUAACCUACAGUUUUAUCUAGAUAUAUAUUACCAAUUUGUUCGGGAAAAGCUGGAAUCGGAACUCCAUAUGGUUCUGCUGCAGUGUAGCAGGAAAUAGUGUUUGUGCGGUUACCACCUACAUAUGCAACCAACAAGUCCCCUAGGGCUACUGACGACAUGUAACCUCCAACGAGGGAUUUCAAACAGAUGCGUAAAAAAAGCUACCGAUUCAUUAGAACCUCUUUGAGAUUUAAACAGAUAAAUUUUUCGAUAAAACAGGUCGCGUAAUGUAACGUGCUUAUUUUGGAGAAUUAAGUUUUGAAUUUCUGUGAUCACCGCACAUCGCUGCAUAACGAACCUUAUCCAUUUGAAAAGAUGCAUGGAUGAGAAUUGAUAACACAUUUUGUUAUAUUUUUUUAAUCCUCCUUCACUUUUUGGUAACAACAAUCCAUCAUUGCCGUUGAAAAACAGUAUUUCACUCAUUUACCCCUUUCUUAUGUUGGACUCUUUUUGUCUUAAACCCGUUAUAAUGAAAUUUCCAAUCGUUCAAACAUUCGGUGUCAUACUGAAGGCUUGAAUUCGUAUUUCGCGUAAUUUAAAUCUCUUAAAUUUCUUUUUUUUUUCAGACUUCAGCUCUUUCGUUUGACCUAUCUAUUUUCAAGCAUAUUAUGGGCUUACCUAUGAUGACUUGUACUAAUCAUAAGGUUAACAGCUUAGCAUACUUUUGUUCAUUUUUAUUAAAACGGUUCAGCAAUUAAACAAUUCUACUUUUUUAAUCCUACUAUAUUUUUGAUAAAUUUUUGAUUUUCAAUUAAAAAAAAAAAACGAGUCUUGUUCUGACUCGAAUCAUGUUACACAGCUCUCUUGGUCUAGAUGUACAAGACCAUUAAAAUAUUGAAUCAAAUUCUGAUACAAGGAAUACAAAGUAAAAAAAAAAAUUUGAUCGAAACAAAUAACUAGAAUAUCCAGUAGUUUAAUAUCAUCGAAAAUGAAAGGAUAUGUGAAGUAUUCACUUCAAAAAGCAAUACGUUUAUCCGUUAGACCAUGAGCCAUUUGUUUAAAGCUAAUCAUUUGGUUUCACAGUCUCUCCGCGAACUCGGGCCUAAACUAAACGAAGAGUUUUCUUGUUUCCUAAACUGUUACAUUAUGAUGCAUCUUUUCGGAGCUAAAGAUUCGGCAUAUAGCCUAUCCCUCGAGUGGAGUACUGAAUAAAACGGAGAGUUUCAUCGUUGCCGAAACGACUUAUCAGUUGGAUUCGUUUUCAGCCUAUUGCCAGACUGAUUCCAGACGAUUGCUGAGGACCCCCUCCGAAGAGAGGUUCCCUCCUUUUAUGUUUUGGGUACAAAUUCCAUCCAUUUCGGGUCUCCGAUGGUGGACACCCUCUUUACUUUUGUUCCCCAGAAGGAAUUAGGUAUUGCUCAUUUAGAGUAAGAUGCAACAUCUAUUUAACGUCUCCAACGCUUCGACGUGUACAUUCACGAGAGUUCGCUAACAUUUGUUAGGGAUAUUCCCUUCAUGCUCUGUGGAUUACACACCACAGAACUGGCCUCGGACGAAUUCUCAAUCUUAGCACAGCCAGUCGUCCCUGGUUUAUGUAUUCCAAUUAGUCUCUACAACUUUUGAGUGCUCUGAAAUCAUGUUGACCACCGUACACUUCAAGGGCCUAAAGAAUCGAGUGGAGACUGUGAGAGGUAAGUAUUUGUUAACUGGAGUCGGACUCGAGACCAGGUGCCACUGCUACCAGGAGUACUCCACACCGCUAUUCUCGUUUUCUAAACGUUAAUCGUACACCGUUACAGUAUGUCACAUUUUUUCAAAGCUUAUUAUUCGGCUUCACAGCGUAUCCACAAGCGAAACAGUGAAUGCAUUGUAUGGUUUCGUGGUCUUCUAAGAGACUCAUUAGUACGACGCGGUUUUGACCUAUUGUUAGACUAAUUCUAGGUAUUGAUUAUGGCCAUUUCCAUAGAAAGCUUCGUAUCUUCAAGUCUUAAAAUUAUGCGAUUAACAUUUUUUGUCCAUUAUGAAUUUUCUUUUUAAUCUCUAUUAUCAUUUAAUGUAAAAAGAUAUUGCUACGUGUUCGGCUUGUAAAUUCUAGCAUCAGCAUAUUUUUUCACGCACAAUGAUAACAUUUCAUUAGUUACUGAUUCACUAGAAAUUCGAAUAGCGUGUUGUUUCCAAAUGCAUGGUAUACUUUCUUCGAAAAUCUAUUCGUUGAAUAUAAUAUAUACUGAUUCUUCCACGUUAGCGCAAAUGUAUGGAAUAAAAAUUAAAGAAACAUUGGUAAAGAUAGCAGACAAGUAAGUCUUUAGUGGGAUGAAUUGUGCAAACAAGAAUCGGAAGCACUUAAAUGUGUUAUAGUCAUUUUGAGAGUGAAAAAGAAAGUUCUAAUAAUAUGGACACAAUUUGGUUCCCCCCUAAGCAAGAAACAGAGUCGUUUCAAAGUAUUGCAUGUUUCUUAACCAAAAUCGGAAUACUCGAAGGUUUUUCGAUUCAUAAAAAAACAGUGAAAGUUUGAUCACUAGGUAAUCUCAUUGAAGUUAGGAGACAUUUUGAUAUGACAAAAGUUAUACUUUUGUAAGCCAUAUGGUAGUAAAACGAACUCACAUUAGAAAUUGCAGCAUGGCAGCAGGAGCGACUAAUCGUUUCAAAAAAUUUAUUAGCUUAAAAGGAACACUAAAUGAAGUAAAUUUUUUCCUAAUUGUAGAGCACAUGACGAAUCAAGACUCUUUUUUGUUUCACUUAGUCGUUACUGUAAAAAAUAACUUACAAG
Hylaeus volcanicus is the source of this 2757-nucleotide long non-coding RNA. RefSeq lists it as uncharacterized. The record is from RefSeq and is a predicted model, not a curated record. Lineage: Eukaryota; Metazoa; Arthropoda; Insecta; Hymenoptera; Colletidae. The transcript is spliced from 4 exons.